GUUCCUCUCUGUUUUUUCAAGAUUCAAAAAUCAAGAAAAGGCAGAAGCUCCUCCGGCUAGUUUCUGCUGGUUCCGGCUGCCAGCUUCAACAGUCCUCGGGGUAUCAGCGUCUCAUGGAGGCAUACAUUUAGGACACCCAACACGCUCGCAGAUCUUAUGGCAAAUGACGGAGCCGACCUCACAAACUAUCUUGGACUACCUCUAAGCUAGCUGAUGAGCCUUUCUAUCAUUUUUGUUCACUACUCACAUACAUGUUGUAAAUAGGGUGUUAUAUAAUCCCUUGCGGAGCCAACUCAUUGUUGUUACAGUAUUGGACUCUUUUUUGGCUUUUUUGUAAAGGAUUACCUUAACCGUUAGGGUUCUAGUAGAUCCCAAUAUUUGUAAGGGACGCUAGACCCAACACCUGUGUUUGCUUCUUUUUUUAUUCAAUGACAGUCAAUUUUCUGAAAAAAAAAGAAAAAUUAAUGUGGUUUGUCUCUACAUUUUGCAAUCUACUGAAAUACAAUGUUAUGAAAUUGAAUAUAAUUGGAAUUGUAGACAAGGAAAAUUGUCUA
Non-coding RNA from Amborella trichopoda, 554 nucleotides. The record is from RefSeq and is a predicted model, not a curated record. NCBI's taxonomy places the organism in Eukaryota, Viridiplantae, Streptophyta, Magnoliopsida, Amborellales, Amborellaceae.